Molecule: ribosomal RNA, 490 nt
Filed under: uncultured bacterium
Lineage: Bacteria
Description: partial 16S ribosomal RNA
Rfam family: Bacterial small subunit ribosomal RNA
Source: RNAcentral
AUUGAACGCUGGCGGCAGGCCUAACACAUGCAAGUCGAACGGUAACAGGAAGAAGCUUGCUUCUUUGCUGACGAGUGGCGGACGGGUGAGUAAUGUCUGGGAAACUGCCUGAUGGAGGGGGAUAACUACUGGAAACGGUAGCUAAUACCGCAUAACGUCGCAAGACCAAAGAGGGGGACCUUCGGGCCUCUUGCCAUCGGAUGUGCCCAGAUGGGAUUAGCUAGUAGGUGGGGUAACGGCUCACCUAGGCGACGAUCCCUAGCUGGUCUGAGAGGAUGACCAGCCACCCUGGAACUGAGACACGGUCCAGACUCCUACGGGAGGCAGCAGUGGGGAAUAUUGCACAAUGGGCGCAAGCCUGAUGCAGCCAUGCCGCGUGUAUGAAGAAGGCCUUCGGGUUGUAAAGUACUUUCAGCGGGGAGGAAGGGAGUAAAGUUAAUACCUUUACUCAUUGACGUUACCCGCAGAAGAAGCACCGGCUAACUCCGUG